AGCCUUCUGUUGUGCAUCUGAGA
This 23-nucleotide microRNA is filed under the name Gallus gallus (chicken). RNAcentral's name for it is "gga-miR-6549-5p". Lineage: Eukaryota; Metazoa; Chordata; Aves; Galliformes; Phasianidae. The record is from miRBase by way of RNAcentral.